This 252-nucleotide ribosomal RNA is filed under the name uncultured microorganism. Its description in RNAcentral is "partial 16S ribosomal RNA". It matches the Rfam family "Bacterial small subunit ribosomal RNA", at positions 524 to 776 of the family's 1533-position model. The record is from RNAcentral.
UACGUAGGGGGCGAGCGUUGUCCGGAUUUAUUGGGCGUAAAGCGAGCGCAGGUGGUUUAAUAAGUCUGAUGUAAAAGGCAGUGGCUCAACCAUUGUGUGCAUUGGAAACUGUUAGACUUGAGUGCAGUAGAGGAGAGUGGAAUUCCAUGUGUAGCGGUGAAAUGCGUAGAUAUAUGGAGGAACACCGGUGGCGAAAGCGGCUCUCUGGACUGUAACUGACACUGAGGCUCGAAAGCGUGGGUAGCAAACAGG